GACAAACCANUAACAAUUUGUCCGCCAGAAAAUUACGGGCGAAAGCCUAAAACUCAAAAGACUUGACGGUGUUCCACUCCUACCUAGAGGAGCCUGUUUCAUAAUCGAUAACCCCCGCUCAACCCAACCUCCCCUCGAACCACAUUCAGCCUAUAUACCGCCGUCCUCCUGCUUACCCUUUGAAAGAUCAAUAGUAAACCCAAUAGUCCACCAACUAAAAAGUCAGGUCAAGGUGUAGCUUAUGGAGAGGAGAAAAUGGGCUACAUUUUCUAUUAUUAGACUACCACGGAAAGUACCCUGAAACAAAGUACACAAAGGUGGAUUUAGAAGUAAGUUAAAUUAGAGUAUUUAACUAAAAUUAGCUCUGG
Molecule: ribosomal RNA, 368 nt
Filed under: Aspidoscelis uniparens
Lineage: Eukaryota; Metazoa; Chordata; Lepidosauria; Squamata; Teiidae
Description: partial 12S ribosomal RNA
Rfam family: Bacterial small subunit ribosomal RNA
Source: RNAcentral